Lolium perenne is the source of this 776-nucleotide non-coding RNA. The record is from RefSeq and is a predicted model, not a curated record. Lineage: Eukaryota; Viridiplantae; Streptophyta; Magnoliopsida; Poales; Poaceae.
UUUGUUUGGCAAAUAAGUGGUUAUUUUGGUGUGAAAGAAAUAUCCAUGUCAUUGUUGUGUUGGUGCUGGCUACAAUGGUAUCUCUUAUCUAUUACUAGUGGGCAUGCUAACUCGGUCACACCGAAACACAAUCACCUUCUAAUCUUUGCAAGAUCCUGCCGAAGCUAAGAAGCAAGAUACAUGGCGUCCCAAGUCCAUGCUAUUGUUGCUACCGUGUUCGUUGACAGAUGCCGCUAGCUUUGCCACCUACAGAGGCGUCAGCGGGAAGUGGAUGUCCAGAAUGUGGAAGUGCAGCUGCCCAGUCACUCCUAGCUGGAACCUAUAGCUCAUGAAGCCUGAUGCAUCUUGGAAGGAGGCUGGAAGACCAAGGGGGAACACAUCAUAUAUACCCUUGUUCGCUGUGCAAUAUCUAUGCCAUGGCAGCAGUGACCUUUAUAGCACCUUAGUAUAUGUGGCCAGCACAGGAUUCAGAUUCGAGAGCAUCUUGUGACGCCGCCUUAAUGUUUUUUAUGUAACUAUUCGAGGAUUGUUUGCGGAAACUAACUUCCAUUGAAGUUUGUUGUUUGAUAUUUUGGUCUAUCAGUUUGAUUAGACAUUGGUUGCGGUUGUUUAUUGUAAAUUUGAAUGUCAAAUGAGUUGUGUCAUGUGGUCUCGAGUCUAUUUUGAUGUAUAUAAUCCUGCUGUGUGUUCUGGAUGUCCGAAAAAUUUGUGGAUGUCAUGCCGAAUUUUCGAGGUGAACAUCAGAGGCUUGUAUCUGAGCAGAUUCAUCCAUUUAA